CAGUUAUCGACCGGAUCUUGCCUCGAUCGGAUCGGUCCGAACGGACUGGACCGGAUCGGACCCGGGUGACACCUCCAGCAACCUUUGUGUGUGUGUGGAGGCACGUUUUUCAAUUUCCAGACGAAACGAAAGAACUCGAUCGGGGUUCGGUUGAUUACAUUUAUCUAUCAAGCAUAUGCACGAUCCUCUCAUCCGGUUCCCUCAUCGACCGGCGGUGUACGGGUCGGUCAACAGCAACAGGUAUGUGUUGUUAUGUUUCGUACGUAUUCUGUCCGUUUUCGUUUCGUUUUUCUUUAUUUAAUCCAUUCCCAGGCAUACGCCAUCAUCUUCCGCCGCCAGGCCUAGUGUUCAUCCCCGAUCUUGACCCGAUCUUGGGUGGGUUCGGCGGGAUUGAAAUUGCUAUAACUGUUUGGCGGCGUAAUUGGAUUACUCUACGUUCUGGUUCGGUCUCGAAUCUGGCUCGAAUCUGACCUCACUGACCGAGAGAACGGGGCUCACAGAUCGUGGAAAACGGGAGCUGAUCAAGAACGCUGACUAGCGGGCAGCACGAGAAGAAGCGUAAAUUGUGCGCAAGUGCCCCCACCAAAUGUGGGCUAAUCGAACGAAGUAAGGCAGUAAGAUUCUUUCCUCAGGGCGAGAGGAAAAGGUGGUAAAGAAUUGAAUUAGACCGGCGUACGAGAGGUUGCAUAAUUCGCCAGAAGAAUUGGGUCUAUGUGAUUAUUUCUACUCCUUAAGAACUUGCCAAGGCGGAGGGCUUUUGCCUUAAAGACGAUGAUUUGCCAAAAUGGCACACAAUUCCAAUUUCAAUUUGAAUCUCUUAAUUCAAUUAACUCCACUUAACAUCGUCGCGUCGCGUUCGUCGUUUUGCGGGUUCAUCGCUUGAUGUCGCGUUGAAGUCUUUUGUCUGAUGCGUGCACGCCCGUUUCGUGACGUGUGGUGCGGUGGUUGCGAUCAAACUCAAGCAAUCGAUGAUGAUGAUGAUGAUGAUGGGGUUCUGGUUUUAUGUCACGACGUGACAAUCUGUUUCCAUCCAUCCGUCCUAACCCUACGCCCGAUGACCGGGAUGACCGAACCGUUAGCUUUGGCAAAUGGGAGGAAAUUAUUUCUCCCUUGCACCAAACCCCACCACCCCACUUUAUCCUACCUAUCGGUUUCGGAUCGGUUAAAAGUUGACAGUAACGGAAUGGUGACGGUUUUGCGGACAUUAGAUCACAUCGAACAUCAGGCGUUUCGUGGGGGUGAGUUGGGAAUUUGAAACCACACGAGCUGACCAACACCCUCGUCCAGGGGGUGCUUUUGAAGAGACCAACCCUGUCGUCUAACAGCACAACGAGGAGGAUGGGUUGAAAGUGAUCUUAUCACCACCCCACAGGAACGACCGUUCCAUGACAUCGUGUCCAAUUUGUCAUGGCCAAUGUAAAGAAGAAUUUGUCACCCGGUUGGACACACCGAGACGCGAUGCAUUCAAUGGAAAUCAGUUCCGUCCUGUCGGUCGCCCAUUUCCCGAAGAGAGAGAGAGAGAGCAGGAGGGUGUGUUUUCCUCCCCGAAGUACCAUUUCUAUUAACGAGCCAGUGUGUGCUUCUUUGUUGUUUGUAAGUAAACUAUGUACAUUCAUCGCUCGUAACAGAACGCCCCAAAAGGGUUGGGUGAUGACAUCAAGGGAUGAUCGUUUAGAGAUCGAACUCCCCACCAAGCCUUUAAUAGCACAACUUUCACACCCUUUGGACUGGCGCCUGGUCGCGAUUGGAUUGGUUCGUGUGUAUAACCGCGCGGGACACAUCGUUGAAGACACGGGCACUGUUGGGGAGCGUCGGUUCUUAGCGUCGGUUAAUGACUACCAUUCAAAGCCGGUGCUGCCUCUCGGUCAAGACGCAUGUGAUAACGAGCGAUUUCCCAGCGAGCGCAGGGAACCGGUUCGCCCGGCCGGCAAAAUGGGACGCCCGGCAGCGUCCGAUCCCGAUUUAUUGACGUCGGCCAAGCGUCAGCGUCUUUUCCCUUUCCCGGUGGACAACGUUUCUAAAACGCUGACCCAGAAAGCAACGACCAGCAUGACGGGGAGUUUUUAAUUAAAAGCAUCUACUAGCAUAAUCGGUGGCUCGGUGUAAGGUAAAGCAACCUUGAAGCGUGCACUUCCAGCCGGUGUGCGCUGCAGCUUGGAAAUAAUUACAUGAUCUUCAACCGGCGGUUUGUACAGAAGAUGGUAGGCGAUCGGGUACGGGUGAGGAUCACCUACGCGUGGUCGUAGCACGCUCUGUCACAACGUCGUCUGCCGUUUGGUACGAAACACCGGAUGACUUUGAGCCCGAUGUCGAAAUAUAGAACAUCAGAUAUAGUUGCCGCGCGACACACACACACACACACGAUCACUGAGCUCAGUGAGCUUUGGUUCGUAGAUCGUGAGCGGGUGGUGGUAGAUUGCGGUUGCGUAGUGUGGCUUCUUCGGUUGCGGAAGUGAGCCAACGGUUAUUAGCGUUGUUGUCAUCGAGCAUCGUGUUUAGCCGGUGAGGUGGUGUACUACAGAUUUUAUUAUCUAAAAUUGGGCCACCCAAGGGAAACCCAUUUUGCACGUAUUAGUUUGCAAUUAGUAGUAACUGUAAGCUUGGCAGUAAUGCUUAUCCCACGUAAAAGCAUUUUUUUCCUUUCAUGUUUAUUUGGACCAUCACUCAUCGGAUGGGGGUUUUUUUGGUCAAAAAUUUGCAAUGCAACCUUAAACGAUCGCUGAACAAAGUAAUUUUGAUUGCGAAAAAAGAAUAAAAGAAAAGCGUUUAUACCCCCAAGAAAAUAAAACAAAUGGGAGAAAAGAAAGAACGAAUGAAGGAGAACACAAAGUGCUGGGUCGCUUGCAGAAGUUGCAGAAAGAAUCGGAUCUGCAUCAUCGUCAGCGCGGUGCUGAUCGAUGAGGAACGUGCGUGGUAAGAGAAUUGUACGAACAUUCAAUUUCGUUUCUGGACCUGCAUGC
This is a long non-coding RNA of Anopheles stephensi (Asian malaria mosquito), 2960 nucleotides long. RefSeq lists it as uncharacterized. NCBI's taxonomy places the organism in Eukaryota, Metazoa, Arthropoda, Insecta, Diptera, Culicidae. The transcript has 3 exons. The record is from RefSeq and is a predicted model, not a curated record.